AGAGUUUGAUCCUGGCUCAGGAUGAACGCUAGCGGCAGGCUUAACACAUGCAAGUCGAGGGGUAACGAUGGCUUCGGCCAGGCGACGACCGGCGCACGGGUGCGUAACGCGUAUGCAACCUACCUUUAACUGGAGGAUAGCCCAAAGAAAUUUGGAUUAAUACUCCAUAAUAUCAUUUUAACUCAUGUUAUUUUGAUUAAAGCUCCGGCGGUUAAAGAUGGGCAUGCGUGACAUUAGAUUGUUGGUGAGGUAACGGCUCACCAAGUCUACGAUGUCUAGGGGGUCUGAGAGGAUGAUCCCCCACACUGGUACUGAGACACGGACCAGACUCCUACGGGAGGCAGCAGUGAGGAAUAUUGGUCAAUGGGCGCAAGCCUGAACCAGCCACGCCGCGUGCAGGAUGAAUGCCCUACGGGUUGUAAACUGCUUUUCUAUAGGAAGAAACUUUCGAACGUGUUCGGAACUGACGAUACUAUAGGAAUAAGCAUCGGCUAACUCCGUGCCAGCAGCCGCGGUAAUACGGAGGAUGCAAGCGUUAUCCGGAUUUAUUGGGUUUAAAGGGUGCGUAGGCGGAAUAAUAAGUCAGUGGUGAAAUCCUGCAGCUUAACUGUAGAACUGCCGUUGAUACUGUUAUUCUUGAGUAUAGUUGAGGUGGGCGGAAUGUGUAAUGUAGCGAUGAAAUGCUUAGAUAUUACACAGAACGCCAAUUGCGAAGGCAGCUCACUAAGCUAUUACUGACGCUGAGGCACGAAAGCGUGGGGAGCGAACAGGAUUAGAUACCCUGGUAGUCCACGCCGUAAACGAUGAUCACUCGUUGUUGGCGAUACACUGUCAGCGACUGAGCAAAAGCAUUAAGUGAUCCACCUGGGGAGUACGGUCGCAAGAUUGAAACUCAAAGGAAUUGACGGGGGCCCGCACAAGCGGAGGAACAUGUGGUUUAAUUCGAUGAUACGCGAGGAACCUUACCUGGGCUUAAAUGCAGGACGACAGAUCGGGAAACUGAUCCUUCUUCGGACGGCUUGCAAGGUGCUGCAUGGUUGUCGUCAGCUCGUGCCGUGAGGUGUCGGGUUAAGUCCCAUAACGAGCGCAACCCCUAUUGUUAGUUACCAGCGGAUAAUGCCGGGGACUCUAACGAAACUGCCGGUGUAAACCGAGAGGAAGGUGGGGAUGACGUCAAAUCAGCACGGCCCUUAUGUCCAGGGCUACACACGUGUUACAAUGGCUAGUACAAAGGGCAGCUACCUGGUGACAGGAUGCUAAUCUCGAAAACUGGUCUUAGUUCGGAUCGAAGUCUGCAACUCGACUUCGUGAAGGUGGAUUCGCUAGUAAUCGCGCAUCAGCCAUGGCGCGGUGAAUACGUUCCCGGGCCUUGUACACACCGCCCGUCAAGCCAUGGAAGCUGGGGGUACCUAAAGUCCGUAACCGUAAGGAGCGGCCUAGGGCAAAACUAGUGACUGGGGCUAAGUCGAAACAAGGUA
Molecule: ribosomal RNA, 1478 nt
Filed under: metagenome
Description: bacterial SSU rRNA
Rfam family: Bacterial small subunit ribosomal RNA
Source: RNAcentral